GGGAAUCUACCCAGAUCUACGGAACAACAGAGGGAAACUUCUGCUAAUACCGUAUACGCCCUACGGGGGAAAGAUUUAUCGGAUUUGGAUGAGCCCGCGUAAGAUUAGCUAGUUGGUGAGGUAAUGGCUCACCAAGGCGACGAUCUUUAGCUGGUCUGAGAGGAUGAUCAGCCACGCUGGGACUGAGACACGGCCCAGACUCCUACGGGAGGCAGCAGUGGGGAAUAUUGGACAAUGGGCGCAAGCCUGAUCCAGCCAUGCCGCGUGAGUGAUGAAGGCCUUAGGGUUGUAAAGCUCUUUCAGUGGGGAAGAUAAUGACGGUACCCACAGAAGAAGCCCCGGCUAACUUCGUGCCAGCAGCCGCGGUAAUACGAAGGGGGCUAGCGUUGUUCGGAUUUACUGGGCGUAAAGCGCACGUAGGCGGUUUGUUAAGUCAGAGGUGAAAUCCUGGAGCUCAACUCCAGAACUGCCUUUGAUACUGGCAAGCUCGAGUCCGGAAGAGGUAAGUGGAACUCCUAGU
Molecule: ribosomal RNA, 520 nt
Filed under: uncultured bacterium
Lineage: Bacteria
Description: bacterial SSU rRNA
Rfam family: Bacterial small subunit ribosomal RNA
Source: RNAcentral